CAGUCGCCGCGGUAAUACGAAGGGUGCAAACGUUAAUCGGAAUUACUGGGCGUAAAGCGUGCGUAGGCGGUGAGUUAAGUCUGUUGUGAAAUCCCCGGGCUCAACCUGGGAAUGGCAAUGGAUACUGGCAAGCUAGAGUGUGUCAGAGGAUGGUGGAAUUCCCGGUGUAGCGGUGAAAUGCGUAGAGAUCGGGAGGAACAUCAGUGGCGAAGGCGGCCAUCUGGGACAACACUGACGCUGAGGCACGAAAGCGUGGGGAGCAAACAGGAUUAGAGACCCCGGUAGUCCCUGUCUCUUAUAC
Molecule: ribosomal RNA, 301 nt
Filed under: uncultured bacterium
Lineage: Bacteria
Description: partial 16S ribosomal RNA
Rfam family: Bacterial small subunit ribosomal RNA
Source: RNAcentral